Molecule: ribosomal RNA, 569 nt
Filed under: uncultured bacterium
Lineage: Bacteria
Description: bacterial SSU rRNA
Rfam family: Bacterial small subunit ribosomal RNA
Source: RNAcentral
UGCAGUCGCACGAGAAAGCGGGGGCAACCUCGCAAGUACAGUGGCGUACGGGUGAGUAACACGUGGGUGAUCUACCUCUGGGUGGGGAAUAACGCUGGGAAACCGGCGCUAAUACCGCAUAAUCUCGAGAGAGCAAAGCAGCAAUGCGCCGAGAGAGGAGCCCGCGGCCGAUUAGCUAGUUGGUGAGGUAACGGCUCACCAAGGCCAAGAUCGGUAGCCGGCCUGAGAGGGCACACGGCCACACUGGCACUGAAAUACGGGCCAGACUCCUACGGGAGGCAGCAGUGGGGAAUCUUGCACAAUGGGGGCAACCCUGAUGCAGCGACGCCGCGUGAGCGAUGAAGCCCUUCGGGGUGUAAAGCUCUUUCGGCAGGGAAGAAUCAUGACGGUACCUGCAGAAGCAGCUGCGGCUAACUACGUGCCAGCAGCCGCGGUAAUACGUAGGCAGCGAGCGUUGUUCGGAGUUACUGGGCGUAAAGGGUGUGUAGGCGGUUCUCCAAGUUUGGUGUGAAAUCUCCCGGCUCAACCGGGAGGGUGCGCCGAAAACUGGGGGGCUAGAGUGCGGGAGG